Molecule: long non-coding RNA, 1161 nt
Organism: Brassica rapa (field mustard)
Lineage: Eukaryota; Viridiplantae; Streptophyta; Magnoliopsida; Brassicales; Brassicaceae
Source: RefSeq, a predicted model, not a curated record
GUAAACGCUCAUACGCAGAUUCGGAAUAAGAUCUUCUUUGCUCUCUUUUCGAUUUCUUAUUUUUAUCGUUGUUGUUCUCGUGUUCUGAUUGCUUGACGUGUGGUAAUUAACAGAUAUCCGGAUCCUCUGGGAAAUUAGGGUUUUCCUAGUUUCCUUAUUUAAACGGAAAUCGACAGUGCGAAUUUCGGUUCUCACAGUUAUGUCCUCCACCAGCUGGUUUGUUCACCUAUUAUGUCCCAUGACUUGCACCUGCCUGCUUACCUAGCUUCUUCAGUACAUUUCACAUGACAAUCACAAGCUGAAUGUGUGCUUGCUUCAUCUCUUGAUUAUUAUGAUUGGUUGGAAACUACUUCAUGGGAGGGAAAGGACAGCAUGGUGCAGAUGUUGAAGCAGCUUGCUAGCUGUCUCCUCUUACCCUUCUUUGGUCCCUCAGCUGGACACUCAUCCAAAGACCAUCUGAAAUAUAUAAACCUCUCCUCCAGCUGCUUUACCACAUUCUGAAACCUCAGAAAAAUCCACAAAAUUUUCAGAGAGAAAGAGAGAAAGAAGAAGAGAAAAUCAGUGAGAAAAUCAGGAAAUUAAAUCAAGAAAAAAAUUGUUGGUGAUUUGAUCUUCAGCCCUAGCUCAUUCAGUUUCUGUGAGAAAGAUCAGAAGUUCGGCCACAAUCUAAUCUUGGAGAAGAGGAUCAGCUGAGGCCAUCUAGUCCUUUGGUUCAUCUUGGUCAGAGGGGGAGUAAGGCUUUAGGUAUCCAACCAGUUCCAAGACUAAUCUCUUAGGUGAGUCUAGAUAGAUGUUGAGAUUGAUUAAGUUAGUAAAGUCUCUCAAGUUUAUAAGAAUGGUGUUAUGUUUACUUAUUGUGAACUAUACAUAAGAGUAAUCACGGUUAAUUCUAAUCUUAGUACUUGUGAACAAGUACUAAUCUUAACUAUGAAAUAAUCAUGGUUUAAUUAAGGAUUAAUCUUGGUUUAAUUAAGGAUUAAUCUUGGUUUAAUUAAGGAUUAAUCUUGGUUUAAUUAAGAAUUAAUCUGAAAUUAAUUAAAGAGUAAUCAUGAUUAAUUAAGUACUAAUCUUGGAUUAAUUAAAAAUUAAUAUGAGAUUAAUUAUGGAUUAAUCUAGGAUUAAUUAGAAGUUAAUUAUGAUUAAUUAAGGAUUAUUUAUCGA